GACGAACGCUGGCGGCGUGCCUAAUACAUGCCAGUAGAACGCUGAAGAGAGGAGCUUGCUCUUCUUGGAUGAGUUGCGAACGGGUGAGUAACGCGUAGGUAACCUGCCUUGUAGCGGGGGAUAACUAUUGGAAACGAUAGCUAAUACCGCAUAACAAUGGAUGACACAUGUCAUUUAUUUGAAAGGGGCAAUUGCUCCACUACAAGAUGGACCUGCGUUGUAUUAGCUAGUAGGUGAGGUAAUGGCUCACCUAGGCGACGAUACAUAGCCGACCUGAGAGGGUGAUCGGCCACACUGGGACUGGGACACGGCCCAGACUCCUACGGGAGGCAGCAGUAGGGAAUCUUCGGCAAUGGGGGCAACCCUGACCGAGCAACGCCGCGUGAGUGAAGAAGGUUUUCGGAUCGUAAAGCUCUGUUGUAAGUCAAGAACGGGUGUGAGAGUGGAAAGUUCACACUGUGACGGUAGCUUACCAGAAAGGGACGGCUAACUACGUG
RNAcentral lists this ribosomal RNA (497 nucleotides) under uncultured bacterium. RNAcentral describes it as "partial 16S ribosomal RNA". It matches the Rfam family "Bacterial small subunit ribosomal RNA", at positions 28 to 507 of the family's 1533-position model. The record is from RNAcentral.